This 94-nucleotide ribosomal RNA is filed under the name Chondrorhyncha sp. 2 SRR-2011. Its description in RNAcentral is "5.8S ribosomal RNA". It matches the Rfam family "5.8S ribosomal RNA", at positions 1 to 89 of the family's 154-position model. From Rfam's summary of the family: 5.8S ribosomal RNA (5.8S rRNA) is a component of the large subunit of the eukaryotic ribosome. It is transcribed by RNA polymerase I as part of the 45S precursor that also contains 18S and 28S rRNA. The record is from RNAcentral. Lineage: Eukaryota; Viridiplantae; Streptophyta; Magnoliopsida; Asparagales; Orchidaceae.
GACACGACUCUCGGCAAUGGAUAUCUCGGCUCUCGCAUCGAUGAAGAAUGCAGCGAAAUGCGAUACGUGGUGCNAAUUGCAGAAUCCCGCGAAC